GACGAACGCUGGCGGUGUGCUUAACACAUGCAAGUCGAACGGUAAGGCCCUUUCGGGGGUACACGAGUGGCGAACGGGUGAGUAACACGUGAGUAACCUGCCCUCAUCUCUGGGAUAACAGUCGGAAACGGUUGCUAAUACUGGAUAUGAGCUUGCAAGGCAUCUUGUGGGUUGGAAAGAUUUUUUUGGUUGGGGAUGGACUCGCGGCCUAUCAGCUUGUUGGUGAGGUAGUGGCUCACCAAGGCUUCGACGGGUAGCCGGCCUGAGAGGGCGACCGGCCACAUUGGGACUGAGAUACGGCCCAAACUCCUACGGGAGGCAGCAGUGGGGAAUAUUGCACAAUGGACGGAAGUCUGAUGCAGCAACGCCGCGCGCGGGAUGACGGCCUUCGGGUUGUAAACCGCUUUCAAUUGUGACGAAGCUUUUUGUGACGGUAGCAGUAGAAGAAGCACCGGCUAACUACGUG
RNAcentral lists this ribosomal RNA (466 nucleotides) under uncultured bacterium. RNAcentral describes it as "partial 16S ribosomal RNA". It matches the Rfam family "Bacterial small subunit ribosomal RNA", at positions 28 to 507 of the family's 1533-position model. The record is from RNAcentral.